GACGAACGCUGGCGGCGUGCUUAACACAUGCAAGUCGAACGGAAAGGCCCUGCUUUUGUGGGGUGCUCGAGUGGCGAACGGGUGAGUAACACGUGAGUAACCUGCCCUUGACUUUGGGAUAACUUCAGGAAACUGGGGCUAAUACCGGAUAGGAGCUCCUGCUGCAUGGUGGGGGUUGGAAAGUUUCGGCGGUUGGGGAUGGACUCGCGGCUUAUCAGCUUGUUGGUGGGGUAGUGGCUUACCAAGGCUGUGACGGGUAGCCGGCCUGAGAGGGUGACCGGCCACAUUGGGACUGAGAUACGGCCCAGACUCCUACGGGAGGCAGUAGUGGGGAAUAUUGCACAAUGGGCGGAAGCCUGAUGCAGCAACGCCGCGUGCGGGAUGACGGCCUUCGGGUUGUAAACCGCUUUCGCCUGUGACGAAGCGUGAGUGACGGUAAUGGGUAAAGAAGCACCGGCUAACUACGUG
Molecule: ribosomal RNA, 468 nt
Filed under: uncultured bacterium
Lineage: Bacteria
Description: partial 16S ribosomal RNA
Rfam family: Bacterial small subunit ribosomal RNA
Source: RNAcentral